RNAcentral lists this transfer RNA (73 nucleotides) under Camelus bactrianus (Bactrian camel). It matches the Rfam family "tRNA". From Rfam's summary of the family: Transfer RNA (tRNA) molecules are approximately 80 nucleotides in length. Their secondary structure includes four short double-helical elements and three loops (D, anti-codon, and T loops). RNAcentral also lists the same sequence under 2 other names. The record is from Rfam by way of RNAcentral. Lineage: Eukaryota; Metazoa; Chordata; Mammalia; Artiodactyla; Camelidae.
GGUGGUAUGGCUCAGUUGGUAGACUGCGUGCUUGGCAAGCAUGAGGUCAUGGGUUCAAUCCGCAGUACCUCUA